Long non-coding RNA from Zeugodacus cucurbitae (melon fly), 954 nucleotides. RefSeq lists it as uncharacterized. The record is from RefSeq and is a predicted model, not a curated record. Lineage: Eukaryota; Metazoa; Arthropoda; Insecta; Diptera; Tephritidae. The transcript is spliced from 2 exons.
GGCAACAAUAAUUUCGGACUCUGAAUUCAAAUUGAAAAUUCCUAAUCAGCAUUUUAAAGUUAAUGCACAAAUAAGUCAAGAAAAAUAAAGUGACUCAAGUUGAUGGAUCAGGAACCACUCUACAAAUUUCAACUACAUUAGUCUAUUACAGGUUCGAUUUUUCUUUGAAACACUCAAAUGCCCCUGACGGAUCGACAAGACUUUUAUGUCUACCCAUCCGCUUCCACUCCGUCGUCAAUGUUGCUGGCGUACCCUCUCUUGCAAGCUGUUCCACUUUGGAGUUUCCAACGAUUCCACGUGGACCGAGUACCCACACAGGUCGGAUUGGAAAGGAGUUCGAAGCUACUAAUAACGAUGUUAGACACCCCCUUACUAGCUUAGAGCGGACUGUAAUCGAGUCCAUGGUCAGUACUGACGCUCUGCUGUCGGAGUGAAUACACACCUCUCUGAAAGAAGCUGCACUUCGGAGAAGUAUGUCUACUGCUACCUUAAUGGCAGCCGAAAACUGGAGUUAAUUGAGAGCUUCAGAGAGAAGACUCCUCUUAACCUUCGACCCAUCCGUAAAACACAUAGCUCUUGGAGGUACAUAUCUCUUAAACGAGAGAGAUCAUACACAAAUGCAAAUGGUGGAACGGCAAGCUUUCUAAGUUCAGGACUUCAGUGCGCAAACUAUUUAACAAAGCGAAAAGCCCUGGGUGACUAAAUACAACAAAAAGAUCAGACGGGCAAAAGGAGUGAGCUUUAGAAAUUUCUGCUUUUCUAUUCUAUUCUAUAUUUUAUAUAUUAUAUAUUUUCUAUUUGUAUAUAUUUUCGUUUGUUUGCUUCAUCAUUUUUAUGGUCAUCCCUUAGUCACAGGAAGUGUUCAUUUGUGUGGUCACCGCAUUUUUACAAACGUGUUUGCGACUAUAAUUUAUACAUUGACAAUAUUUACAUAUAAAUUUCAAUACUCUUAUA